UACGAAGGGAGCUAGCGUUACUCGGAAUAACUGGGCGUAAAGCGUAUGUAGGCUGAACCGCAAGUCAGGGGUGAAAUCCCGGGGCUCAACCCCGGAAUUGCCUUUGAAACUGCAGUUCUUGAGUAUGACAGAGGAUGGUGGAAUUUCUAGUGUAGAGGUGAAAUUCGUAGAUAUUAGAAAGAACACCGGUGGCGAAGGCGACCAUCUGGGUCAUAACUGACGCUGAGAUACGAAAGCGUGGGGAGCAAACAGG
This 253-nucleotide ribosomal RNA is filed under the name uncultured prokaryote. Its description in RNAcentral is "partial 16S ribosomal RNA". It matches the Rfam family "Bacterial small subunit ribosomal RNA", at positions 524 to 776 of the family's 1533-position model. The record is from RNAcentral.